RNAcentral lists this ribosomal RNA (600 nucleotides) under uncultured bacterium. Its description in RNAcentral is "bacterial SSU rRNA". It matches the Rfam family "Bacterial small subunit ribosomal RNA", at positions 59 to 654 of the family's 1533-position model. The record is from RNAcentral.
AAGUCGAACGGCAGCACGGGGGCAACCCUGGUGGCGAGUGGCGAACGGGUGAGUAAUGCAUCGGAACGUGCCUAGUAGUGGGGGAUAACGCGUCGAAAGAUGUGCUAAUACCGCAUACGCACUAUGGUGGAAAGCGGGGGAUCGCAAGACCUCGCGCUAUUAGAGCGGCCGAUGCCCGAUUAGCUAGUUGGUGGGGUAAUGGCCUACCAAGGCGACGAUCGGUAGCUGGUCUGAGAGGAUGAUCAGCCACACUGGGACUGAGACACGGCCCAGACUCCUACGGGAGGCAGCAGUGGGGAAUUUUGGACAAUGGGCGCAAGCCUGAUCCAGCCAUGCCGCGUGAGUGAAGAAGGCCUUCGGGUUGUAAAGCUCUUUCGGCCGGAACGAAAUCGUCCGGGCUAAUACCUCGGAUGGAUGACGGUACUGGAAGAAGAAGCACCGGCUAACUACGUGCCAGCAGCCGCGGUAAUACGUAGGGUGCAGGCGUUAAUCGGAAUUACUGGGCGUAAAGCGUGCGCAGGCGGCUUCCUAAGUCAGAUGUGAAAUCCCCGGGCUUAACCUGGGAACUGCGUUUGAAACUGGGAGGCUCGAGUGCGGCAG